This 253-nucleotide ribosomal RNA is filed under the name uncultured bacterium. RNAcentral's name for it is "partial 16S ribosomal RNA". It matches the Rfam family "Bacterial small subunit ribosomal RNA", at positions 524 to 776 of the family's 1533-position model. The record is from RNAcentral.
UACGUAGGGGGCAAGCGUUGUCCGGAACCAUUGGGCGUAAAGCGUGCGCAGGCGGUGAUGUAAGACAGGUGUGAAAUCCCCGGGCUUAACCUGGGAACUGCAUUUGUGACUGCAUCGCUGGAGUGCGGCAGAGGGGGAUGGAAUUCCGCGUGUAGCAGUGAAAUGCGUAGAUAUGCGGAGGAACACCGAUGGCGAAGGCAAUCCCCUGGGCCUGCACUGACGCUCAUGCACGAAAGCGUGGGGAGCAAACAGG